RNAcentral lists this ribosomal RNA (466 nucleotides) under uncultured bacterium. RNAcentral's name for it is "partial 16S ribosomal RNA". It matches the Rfam family "Bacterial small subunit ribosomal RNA", at positions 28 to 507 of the family's 1533-position model. The record is from RNAcentral.
GAUGAACGCUGGCGGCGUGCUUAACACAUGCAAGUCGAACGGAAAGGCUCCUGCUUGCAGGGGUACUCGAGUGGCGAACGGGUGAGUAACACGUGGGUGAUCUGCCCUGCACUUCGGGAUAAGCCUGGGAAACUGGGUCUAAUACCGGAUAGGACGAUGGUUUGGAUGCCAUUGUGGAAAGUUUUUUCGGUGUGGGAUGAGCUCGCGGCCUAUCAGCUUGUUGGUGGGGUAAUGGCCUACCAAGGCGUCGACGGGUAGCCGGCCUGAGAGGGUGUACGGCCACAUUGGGACUGAGAUACGGCCCAGACUCCUACGGGAGGCAGCAGUGGGGAAUAUUGCACAAUGGACGCAAGCCUGAUGCAGCGACGCCGCGUGGGGGAUGACGGCCUUCGGGUUGUAAACUCCUUUCGCUAGGGACGAAGCGCAAGUGACGGUACCUGGAGAAGAAGCACCGGCUAACUACGUG